Molecule: small nuclear RNA, 117 nt
Filed under: Propithecus coquereli (Coquerel's sifaka)
Lineage: Eukaryota; Metazoa; Chordata; Mammalia; Primates; Indriidae
Description: U5 spliceosomal RNA (ENSPCOG00000009081.1)
Rfam family: U5 spliceosomal RNA
About the family: U5 RNA is a component of both types of known spliceosome.
Source: Rfam by way of RNAcentral
AUACUCUGGUUUCUCUUCAAAACGAACAAAUCUUUCGCCUUUUACUAAAGAUUUCUGUGGAGAGGAACAGUUAUGAGUUGGUAACCAAAUUUUUUGAGGUCUUGCUUAGGCAAGGCU